Molecule: microRNA precursor, 120 nt
Filed under: Glycine max (soybean)
Lineage: Eukaryota; Viridiplantae; Streptophyta; Magnoliopsida; Fabales; Fabaceae
Also listed under: 1 other name
Description: MIR4374 microRNA precursor family
Rfam family: MIR4374 microRNA precursor family
Source: Rfam by way of RNAcentral
CAAAGACGGUGCUUACCUCAGCAACCGUCUUUGAAAGUAGGCAUUAUAAGACGUUGCUGAUGUAAGCACCGUCUUUGAAUGCCUACUUUCAAAGUCGGUGUUGAUGUAAGCACCGUCUUU